GAGGCCCCACCUGAAGAGAUGCUGGGUCGAGGGUCUUCUUGGCAGCCCACAAGCGAGGCAUAAAGCAACUGUUCUCCUGCUCCCAGAUUCUGGUGUCGCAGCUAACGGCCUUUGCACAGCAGACUGCACUCCAUGAUUCUGACCAACCUCCACAGCCAUCUCUUGGAAAUUCUGACCCGCAGAUUCAACCACAUCACGGAGGCGGAAAAUGGGGCAAAAGGGGUCCGUUUUGGCAUUGUAUUUGCAGUUCUUGAGCGACAAGAGUCUUGUUAGCACAAGGAUGGAAGAACAAGGAAAUCCCAAUGAAAGAACAGUGGCAAGAAAAAAUGAUGAGCUAUGCAGAAAUGGCCAAGUUGACAUAUAAACUGCGUGACAAGGACAAUCAUGACUUCAAGGAGCAAUGGAAACUUUUUACAAACUACUUAAAAAGACAAAAAAAUGACUUGGACUCCUUGGCAGGUUUUGAAUAAACAUCCACAAAUUUAUUAGUUCAAUAUAUGAUAGACAAGGCAAGGAUAUGUACAAUUUUAUAAUAUGCAGAGAACAAUAUGUGCAAAGAAACCAGAGAAGGGAGCUGAGGGAAG
Podarcis raffonei (Aeolian wall lizard) is the source of this 584-nucleotide long non-coding RNA. RefSeq lists it as uncharacterized. NCBI's taxonomy places the organism in Eukaryota, Metazoa, Chordata, Lepidosauria, Squamata, Lacertidae. The record is from RefSeq and is a predicted model, not a curated record. The transcript has 3 exons.